CCUGAAAUGAUUAGGAUUCGAUGUCGAUGUAGAG
This 34-nucleotide small RNA is filed under the name Bombyx mori (domestic silkworm). RNAcentral's name for it is "ovarian small RNA-14040". The record is from RNAcentral. Lineage: Eukaryota; Metazoa; Arthropoda; Insecta; Lepidoptera; Bombycidae.